RNAcentral lists this ribosomal RNA (313 nucleotides) under uncultured Pythium. RNAcentral's name for it is "SSU rRNA". It matches the Rfam family "Eukaryotic small subunit ribosomal RNA", at positions 39 to 352 of the family's 1831-position model. The record is from RNAcentral. Lineage: Eukaryota; Oomycota; Peronosporomycetes; Pythiales.
AAAGAUUAAGCCAUGCAUGUCUAAGUAUAAACAAUUUUGUACUGUGAAACUGCGAANGGCUCAUUAUAUCAGUUAUAGUCUACUCGAUAGUACCUUACUACUUGGAUAACCGUAGUAAUUCUAGAGCUAAUACAUGCAUAAAUACCCAACUGCUUGNCGGGCGGGUAGCAUUUAUUANAUUGAAACCAAUGCAGUCUUCGGGCUGGUAUUGUGUUGAGUCAUAAUAACUGUGCGGAUCGCACUUUGUGCGAUAAAUCGAUUGAGUUUCUGCCCUAUCAGCUUUGGAUGGUAGGAUAUGGGCCUACCAUGGCAU